UACGGAGGAUCCAAGCGUUAUCCGGAUUCAUUGGGUUUAAAGGGUGCGUAGGCGGACUUGUAAGUCAGUGGUGAAAGCCCUCAGCUUAACCGAGGAACUGCCCUCCAAACUGUCUGGCUUGAGACCGGGAGAGGUGAGUGGAAUUCCCAGUGUAGCGGUGAAAUGCGUAGAUAUUGGGAGGAACACCAGUGGCGAAGGCGGCUCACUGGACCGGUACUGACGCUGAUGCGCGAAAGCGUGGGGAGCAAACGGG
Molecule: ribosomal RNA, 253 nt
Filed under: uncultured bacterium
Lineage: Bacteria
Description: partial 16S ribosomal RNA
Rfam family: Bacterial small subunit ribosomal RNA
Source: RNAcentral